GAGAGUUAAAUAGUACGUGAAAUUGUUGAAAGGGAAACGAUUGAAGUCAGUCAUGCCGGUGAGAAUCAACUUUGGGGAAGGGGGAUUUUUUUGAACCUAACCUUGAAGUGCACUUCUUCGCUUGGCAGGUUAGCGUCGAUUUUGAACGUCAUAAAAUGAUUGGGGGAAGGUAGCUCUUUCGGGAGUGUUAUAGCCCUUAAUUAAUGUGAUAUUUGGGAUCGAGGAUUGCAACGGAUACCUUUUUAGGCUAGCCGCCUGGCCUCUGAUUCGAUGUUGGGUUAUAGACAGCACGCUGACUAUGAUCUGAUUAUUGGUCAAAAGGUUAGAGCGAGCAUAAAUUCGUUAAGGACGCUGACGUAAUGGCUUUAAACGA
RNAcentral lists this ribosomal RNA (373 nucleotides) under uncultured Scutellospora. Its description in RNAcentral is "partial 28S ribosomal RNA". Lineage: Eukaryota; Fungi; Glomeromycota; Glomeromycetes; Diversisporales; Gigasporaceae. The record is from RNAcentral.